Molecule: unclassified non-coding RNA, 279 nt
Filed under: plant metagenome
Description: partial contains small subunit ribosomal RNA, internal transcribed spacer 1, and 5.8S ribosomal RNA
Source: RNAcentral
UUUCCGUAGGUGAACCUGCGGAAGGAUCAUUAUUGAAUAACCGAGGUGCAAGGGCUGUCGCUGACCCGAACGGUCGUUCACUCCCGAGUGCCCUCACACACAUCCACCUCCCCCCUAUGUGCCCCACCGCGGGGGUCCCCCUUUGGCUUUUUCGUCAGGAGUCUCACGUUUUCACACAAACAUUUUAUUCAGAGUAUAAUGUAAUUUUUCUUUUUGCGCUGACGCAGUCAAUACACCUUUCAACAACGGAUCUCUCGGCUCUGGCCUCCAUGCAGAACG